CUUGCUCCCUGGCGGCGAGUGGCGCACGGGUGAGUAACGCGUGGGUAACCUGCCUCACACUGGGGGAUAACAGUUAGAAAUAGCUGCUAAUACCGCAUAAGCGCACAGCAUCGCAUGAUGCAGUGUGAAAAAUUCCGGUGGUAUAAGAUGGACCCGCGUCUGAUUAGCCAGUUGGCGGGGUAACGGCCCACCAAAGCGACGAUCAGUAGCCGACCUGAGAGGGUGACCGGCCACAUUGGGACUGAGACACGGUCCAAACUCC
RNAcentral lists this ribosomal RNA (262 nucleotides) under uncultured Eubacteriales bacterium. RNAcentral's name for it is "uncultured Clostridiales bacterium partial 16S ribosomal RNA". It matches the Rfam family "Bacterial small subunit ribosomal RNA", at positions 75 to 339 of the family's 1533-position model. Lineage: Bacteria; Bacillati; Bacillota; Clostridia; Eubacteriales. The record is from RNAcentral.